The sequence is a ribosomal RNA, 2921 nucleotides long. It matches the Rfam family "Bacterial large subunit ribosomal RNA".
UUAAGUUAUUAAGGGCGCACGGUGGAUGCCUUGGCACUAGAAGCCGACGAAGGACGUUACUAACGACGAUAUGCUUUGGGGAGCUGUAAGUAAGCUUUGAUCCAGAGAUUUCCGAAUGGGGAAACCCGGCACGAGUUAUGUCGUGUUAUCGAUAUGUGAAUACAUAGCAUAUCUGAAGGCAGACGCGGAGAACUGAAACAUCUUAGUACCCGCAGGAAGAGAAAGAAAAAUCGAUUCCCUGAGUAGCGGCGAGCGAAACGGGAAGAGCCCAAACCAAUGAGCUUGCUUGUUGGGGUUGUAGGACACUCUAUACGGAGUUACAAAAGAACAGACUAGACGAAUCAUCUGGAAAGAUGAAUCAAAGAAGGUAAUAAUCCUGUAGUCGAAAGUUUGUUCACUCUUGAGUGGAUCCUGAGUACGACGGAACACGAGAAAUUCCGUCGGAAUCUGGGAGGACCAUCUCCCAAGGCUAAAUACUCUCUAGUGACCGAUAGUGAACCAGUACCGUGAGGGAAAGGUGAAAAGUACCCCGGAAGGGGAGUGAAAUAGAACUUGAAACCGUGUGCUUACAAGUAGUCAGAGCCCGUUAAUGGGUGAUGGCGUGCCUUUUGUAGAAUGAACCGGCGAGUUACGAUUUGAUGCAAGGUUAAGCAGUGAAUGUGGAGCCGUAGCGAAAGCGAGUCUGAAUAGGGCGUUGAGUAUUUGGUCGUAGACCCGAAACCAGGUGAUCUACCCAUGACCAGGUUGAAGUUCAGGUAACACUGAAUGGAGGACCGAACCGACUUACGUUGAAAAGUGAGCGGAUGAGUUGUGGGUAGCGGAGAAAUUCCAAUCGAACCUGGAGAUAGCUGGUUCUCUCCGAAAUAGCUUUAGGGCUAGCCUCAAGUGAUGAUUAUUGGAGGUAGAGCACUGUUUGGACGAGGGGCCCUUAUCGGGUUACCGAAUUCAGACAAACUCCGAAUGCCAAUCAAUUUAACUUGGGAGUCAGAACGCGGGUGAUAAGGUCCGUGUUCGAAAGGGAAACAGCCCAGACCACCAGCUAAGGUCCCAAAAUAUAUGUUAAGUGGAAAAGGAUGUGGCGUUGCCCAGACAACUAGGAUGUUGGCUUAGAAGCAGCCAUCAUUUAAAGAGUGCGUAAUAGCUCACUAGUCGAGUGACACUGCGCCGAAAAUGUACCGGGGCUAAACAUAUUACCGAAGCUGUGGAUUGUCCGUAAGGACAAUGGUAGGAGAGCGUUCUAAGGGCGUUGAAGCAUGAUCGCAAGGACAUGUGGAGCGCUUAGAAGUGAGAAUGCCGGUGUGAGUAGCGAAAGACGGGUGAGAAUCCCGUCCACCGAUUGACUAAGGUUUCCAGAGGAAGGCUCGUCCGCUCUGGGUUAGUCGGGUCCUAAGCUGAGGCCGAUAGGCGUAGGCGAUGGAUAACAGGUUGAUAUUCCUGUACCACCAUUAUUCGUUUUAAGCGAUGGGGGGACGCAGUAGGAUAGGCGAAGCGUACGAUUGGAUUGUACGUCCAAGCAGUGAGAUUGAGUGUUAGGCAAAUCCGGCACUCUUAAGAUUGAGCUGUGAUGGGGAGAGGAAAUUGUUUCCUCGAGUCGUUGAUUUCACACUGCCAAGAAAAGCCUCUAGCUAGAAUUGUGGUGCCCGUACCGCAAACCGACACAGGUAGUCAAGAUGAGAAUUCUAAGGUGAGCGAGCGAACUCUCGUUAAGGAACUCGGCAAAAUGACCCCGUAACUUCGGGAGAAGGGGUGCUCUUUAGGGUUAACGCCCAGGAGAGCCGCAGUGAAUAGGCCCAAGCGACUGUUUAUCAAAAACACAGGUCUCUGCUAAACCGUAAGGUGAUGUAUAGGGGCUGACGCCUGCCCGGUGCUGGAAGGUUAAGAGGAGUGGUUAGCUUCUGCGAAGCUACGAAUCGAAGCCCCAGUAAACGGCGGCCGUAACUAUAACGGUCCUAAGGUAGCGAAAUUCCUUGUCGGGUAAGUUCCGACCCGCACGAAAGGCGUAACGAUUUGGGCACUGUCUCAACGAGAGACUCGGUGAAAUCAUAGUACCUGUGAAGAUGCAGGUUACCCGCGACAGGACGGAAAGACCCCGUGGAGCUUUACUGUAGUCUGAUAUUGAAAUUCGGCACAGCUUGUACAGGAUAGGUAGGAGCCUGAGAUACGUGAGCGCUAGCUUACGUGGAGGCGUUGGUGGGAUACUACCCUCGCUGUGUUGGAUUUCUAACCCGCACCAUUUAUCAUGGUGGGAGACAGUGUCAGAUGGGCAGUUUGACUGGGGCGGUCGCCUCCUAAAGAGUAACGGAGGCGCUCAAAGGUUUCCUCAGAAUGGUUGGAAAUCAUUCAUAGAGUGUAAAGGCAUAAGGAAGCUUGACUGCGAGACUUACAAGUCGAGCAGGGUCGAAAGACGGACUUAGUGAUCCGGUGGUUCCGCAUGGAAGGGCCAUCGCUCAACGGAUAAAAGCUACCCCGGGGAUAACAGGCUUAUCUCCCCCAAGAGUUCACAUCGACGGGGAGGUUUGGCACCUCGAUGUCGGCUCAUCGCAUCCUGGGGCUGUAGUCGGUCCCAAGGGUUGGGCUGUUCGCCCAUUAAAGCGGUACGCGAGCUGGGUUCAGAACGUCGUGAGACAGUUCGGUCCCUAUCCGUCGUGGGCGUAGGAAAUUUGAGAGGAGCUGUUCUUAGUACGAGAGGACCGGGAUGGACAUACCUCUGGUGUACCAGUUGUCGUGCCAACGGCAUCGCUGGGUAGCUAUGUAUGGACGGGAUAAGUGCUGAAAGCAUCUAAGCAUGAAGCCCCCCUCAAGAUGAGAUUUCCCAACUUCGGUUAUAAGAUCCCUCAAAGAUGAUGAGGUUAAUAGGUUCGAGGUGGAAGCAUAGCGAUAUGUGCAGCUGACGAAUACUAAUCGAUCGAAGACUUAAUCAA